GGGAAAUGUCAAUAACCGGAGGCCAGAGGUUUAGAAACCUGCGAGCCCACAGCAGUUACAACCAAUUCAGCCCUAGAGCCAACUGCAACUCUGGCAACGGCAAGAGGGAAAUUGAACUGCGAGUUCCUUUGUCAGGCCCUGGGCUCACGCGGAUGCAAUAGUCAAGUCACGCACUGGUGAGGGCUCGGGGACUGGGUCCCUUAACUCUCAGCUCCAGGAAUCUAGAGCUUCGAGGUCGCUUGAGGGUGGGUGAGCUGCUGGUCUCGCAUUUGAAUCUCGGGACCUGCUCUGUUGCUUACUUUUGUAAUGGGCAAAGCACUUCCUCUUUGAGCCAACGGUUUCUUCUGUCAAAUGAGAUGCUACUCGAUCAUCUCCCAAGUCUCUUGCAAUCCUUUAACAAUUCUGUGAAGCUAACGGCGGCGCCCAGCCUGAAAAGGACCCUAGAAGCCCGGAUGGACAAAUGUAGUCUAGGUGCCUCUUCUGAGUCUUCCUUCCAGGAGGGACAUUGAUGAAUUCAGAGACAAGAGAUACAGAUAAGAGAGAGAAGACUAAGGGAAGGUAUGACUAUUUUCAAAUAUCCUACAGGAUACUUUGAUUCUCUAUUAGUUGAUAUCUUAGUGUUGCUUGCUUCCGUUAGGAGAGAUCAUCAAAGCCUGCUUUAUUUUUAAGUCACAUAUAAUGUGGAGUAGAAGGUAGCA
Molecule: long non-coding RNA, 698 nt
Organism: Sarcophilus harrisii (Tasmanian devil)
Lineage: Eukaryota; Metazoa; Chordata; Mammalia; Dasyuromorphia; Dasyuridae
Exons: 2
Source: RefSeq, a predicted model, not a curated record